This 125-nucleotide small RNA is filed under the name Marmota monax (woodchuck). The record is from RNAcentral. Lineage: Eukaryota; Metazoa; Chordata; Mammalia; Rodentia; Sciuridae.
GCUGGGCGUGGUGGCCUAUGCCUGUAAUCCCUGUGGUUUGGGAGGCUGAGACAGGAGGAUCAUGAGUUCAAAGCCAGUCUCAGCAAUGGAGAGGAACUAAGCAACUCAGUGAGACCCUGCCUCUA